GACGAACGCUGGCGGCGUGCUUAACACAUGCAAGUCGAGCGGUAAGGCCCUUUCGGGGGUACACGAGCGGCGAACGGGUGAGUAACACGUGGGCGACCUACCCUCAGCUUCGGGAUAAGCCUGGGAAACUGGGUCUAAUACCGGAUAUGACCUUCCCUCGCAUGGGGGUUGGUGGAAAGUUUUUCGGUCGUGGGGAGUGGCCCGCGGCCUAUCAGCUUGUUGGUGGGGUGGAUGGCCUACCAAGGCGACGACGGGUAGCCGGCCUGAGAGGGCGACCGGCCACACUGGGACUGAGAUACGGCCCAGACUCCUACGGGAGGCAGCAGUGGGGAAGUAUUGCGCAAUGGGCGGAAGCCUGACGCAGCGACGCCGCGUGGGGGAU
RNAcentral lists this ribosomal RNA (382 nucleotides) under uncultured bacterium. Its description in RNAcentral is "bacterial SSU rRNA". It matches the Rfam family "Bacterial small subunit ribosomal RNA", at positions 28 to 409 of the family's 1533-position model. The record is from RNAcentral.